AGGGCUACUAUAAAGACUUCUAAUCUUAAUAAAAUGAUAUUCAUUUAGCCCU
RNAcentral lists this transfer RNA (52 nucleotides) under Allothyrus sp. LamingtonNP-QMS95173. RNAcentral's name for it is "tRNA-Ser". The record is from RNAcentral. Lineage: Eukaryota; Metazoa; Arthropoda; Arachnida; Holothyrida; Allothyridae.